AAUUUAACAAAAAGCGGCCCAAUCCAG
Molecule: small RNA, 27 nt
Filed under: Bombyx mori (domestic silkworm)
Lineage: Eukaryota; Metazoa; Arthropoda; Insecta; Lepidoptera; Bombycidae
Description: ovarian small RNA-10886
Source: RNAcentral